This 1001-nucleotide ribosomal RNA is filed under the name Staphylococcus aureus. RNAcentral's name for it is "bacterial SSU rRNA". It matches the Rfam family "Bacterial small subunit ribosomal RNA", at positions 47 to 1032 of the family's 1533-position model. The record is from RNAcentral. Lineage: Bacteria; Bacillati; Bacillota; Bacilli; Caryophanales; Staphylococcaceae.
CCAAAGGUCGGGAGGCGAACGGACGAGAAGCUUGCUUCUCUGAUGUUAGCGGCGGACGGGUGAGUAACACGUGGAUAACCUACCUAUAAGACUGGGAUAACUUCGGGAAACCGGAGCUAAUACCGGAUAAUAUUUUGAACCGCAUGGUUCAAAAGUGAAAGACGGUCUUGCUGUCACUUAUAGAUGGAUCCGCGCUGCAUUAGCUAGUUGGUAAGGUAACGGCUUACCAAGGCAACGAUGCAUAGCCGACCUGAGAGGGUGAUCGGCCACACUGGAACUGAGACACGGUCCAGACUCCUACGGGAGGCAGCAGUAGGGAAUCUUCCGCAAUGGGCGAAAGCCUGACGGAGCAACGCCGCGUGAGUGAUGAAGGUCUUCGGAUCGUAAAACUCUGUUAUUAGGGAAGAACAUAUGUGUAAGUAACUGUGCACAUCUUGACGGUACCUAAUCAGAAAGCCACGGCUAACUACGUGCCAGCAGCCGCGGUAAUACGUAGGUGGCAAGCGUUAUCCGGAAUUAUUGGGCGUAAAGCGCGCGUAGGCGGUUUUUUAAGUCUGAUGUGAAAGCCCACGGCUCAACCGUGGAGGGUCAUUGGAAACUGGAAAACUUGAGUGCAGAAGAGGAAAGUGGAAUUCCAUGUGUAGCGGUGAAAUGCGCAGAGAUAUGGAGGAACACCAGUGGCGAAGGCGACUUUCUGGUCUGUAACUGACGCUGAUGUGCGAAAGCGUGGGGAUCAAACAGGAUUAGAUACCCUGGUAGUCCACGCCGUAAACGAUGAGUGCUAAGUGUUAGGGGGUUUCCGCCCCUUAGUGCUGCAGCUAACGCAUUAAGCACUCCGCCUGGGGAGUACGACCGCAAGGUUGAAACUCAAAGGAAUUGACGGGGACCCGCACAACCGGUGGAACAUGUGGUUUAAUUCGAAGCAACGCGAAGAACCUUACCAAAUCUUGACAUCCUUUGACAACUCUAGAGAUAGAGCCUUCCCCUUCGGGGAACAAAGU